CGAACGUGUGUUAUUUGCAAACCAAGUAUAUCAUUACUGAACCUGAAUAUCCUUACUUUUUCAUAAGAUACAUGAAAAGAAAGAAGGAGAGAAGGAAGAAAGGAGGGCGGAAGGAAAGGAAGAAGGGAGAGAAGAAGAGAAGAAAGAAGCAGAGAAAGGAAGAGAAAAGAAAUUACGGCCAGUGCGGUGGCUCACGCCUGUAAUCCUAGCACUUUGGGAGGCCUAAGCGGGCUGAUCACCUGAGGUCAGGAGUUCGUAA
RNAcentral lists this long non-coding RNA (259 nucleotides) under Homo sapiens (human). Its description in RNAcentral is "non-protein coding LUCAT1:17". Lineage: Eukaryota; Metazoa; Chordata; Mammalia; Primates; Hominidae. The record is from RNAcentral.